CCUACGGGGGGCAGCAGUGGGGAAUAUUGGACAAUGGGGGCAACCCUGAUCCAGCCAUGCCGCGUGUGUGAAGAAGGCCCUCGGGUUGUAAAGCACUUUCAGUGAGGAAGAACGCCUGGUGGUUAAUACCCAUCAGGAAAGACAUCACUCACAGAAGAAGCACCGGCUAACUCCGUGCCAGCAGCCGCGGUAAUACGGAGGGUGCGAGUGUUAAUCGGAAUUACUGGGCGUAAAGCGCGCGUAGGUGGCUUGAUAAGCCGGUUGUGAAAGCCCCGGGCUCAACCUGGGAACGGCAUCCGGAACUGUCAAGCUAGAGUGCAGGAGAGGAAGGUAGAAUUCCCGGUGUAGCGGUGAAAUGCGUAGAGAUCGGGAGGAAUACCAGUGGCGAAGGCGGCCUUCUGGACUGACACUGACACUGAGGUGCGAAAGCGUGGGUAGCAAACAGGAUUAGAUACCCGAGUAGUC
RNAcentral lists this ribosomal RNA (465 nucleotides) under Vreelandella stevensii. RNAcentral's name for it is "partial 16S ribosomal RNA". It matches the Rfam family "Bacterial small subunit ribosomal RNA", at positions 338 to 795 of the family's 1533-position model. The record is from RNAcentral. Lineage: Bacteria; Pseudomonadati; Pseudomonadota; Gammaproteobacteria; Oceanospirillales; Halomonadaceae.